GGGGAUAUGGCUCAGUGAUAGAGCAUUUGCCUAGAAUGCUUGAGGUCCUGGGUUUGAUCCCCAGCAUUCCCA
This 72-nucleotide transfer RNA is filed under the name Ictidomys tridecemlineatus (thirteen-lined ground squirrel). RNAcentral describes it as "Spermophilus tridecemlineatus (thirteen-lined ground squirrel) tRNA". It matches the Rfam family "tRNA". From Rfam's summary of the family: Transfer RNA (tRNA) molecules are approximately 80 nucleotides in length. Their secondary structure includes four short double-helical elements and three loops (D, anti-codon, and T loops). The record is from Rfam by way of RNAcentral. Lineage: Eukaryota; Metazoa; Chordata; Mammalia; Rodentia; Sciuridae.